UGAGCUUGAUCCUGGCUCAGGAUGAACGCUAGCGGCAGGCUUAACACAUGCAAGUCGAGGGGUAUGUUUCUUCGGAAGCAGAGACCGGCGCACGGGUGCGUAACGCGUAUGCAAUCUACCUUUUACAGAGGGAUAGCCCAGAGAAAUUUGGAUUAAUACCUCAUAGUAUUACGACUCGGCAUCGAGAUGUAAUUAAAGUCACAACGGUAAAAGAUGAGCAUGCGUCCCAUUAGCUUGUUGGUAAGGUAACGGCUUACCAAGGCUACGAUGGGUAGGGGUCCUGAGAGGGAGAUCCCCCACACUGGUACUGAGACACGGACCAGACUCCUACGGGAGGCAGCAGUGAGGAAUAUUGGACAAUGGGCGCAAGCCUGAUCCAGCCAUGCCGCGUGCAGGAUGACGGUCCUAUGGAUUGUAAACUGCUUUUAUACAGGAAGAAACACCUCUACGUGUAGAGACUGACGGU
RNAcentral lists this ribosomal RNA (466 nucleotides) under Flavobacterium sp. 01WB03.2-2. RNAcentral's name for it is "bacterial SSU rRNA". It matches the Rfam family "Bacterial small subunit ribosomal RNA", at positions 1 to 476 of the family's 1533-position model. The record is from RNAcentral. Lineage: Bacteria; Pseudomonadati; Bacteroidota; Flavobacteriia; Flavobacteriales; Flavobacteriaceae.